Pseudophryne corroboree (corroboree frog) is the source of this 1628-nucleotide long non-coding RNA. RefSeq lists it as uncharacterized. NCBI's taxonomy places the organism in Eukaryota, Metazoa, Chordata, Amphibia, Anura, Myobatrachidae. The record is from RefSeq and is a predicted model, not a curated record. The transcript has 4 exons.
GCGACCAAAGCAGCUGCUUAGGGUCCGGCGAGUCUGAGGGGGCCCCGUGACACAACUUAAUCUGAGCAGGAGCCGGCCCGGCACUACAGUGAAGCAACUGAAAAGAAACUACAACUCCCAGCAGCCCUUGCUGCCGAAAGCUCCCUGCAGCAAGGUCUGGGCCAGUCUAAUUGUCCCCAACCUGUCGUACCCGCACCGCACCGACCACCCACCAUUGUGCCGCCGAGCAAGGCCCGUGGUGCUCGGCGGCAGCAUGACUUGACUACAUGGUCACUGCUGCUGUGCUGGAAAAAGCGAUUAGCACACCAAACCCAACGCCGAGUGAGAAACAGAUUUGAGUGGCAGCAUCAAUCCAAACCUUAAACAAUCCACAGAGCCAACCAGACAAAGAAUGGUGGAAGGAGGAGGGAGAGAGAGAAGAGCUGUUAUUAGAGAUAAUUGCAGGAAACUCAUUCAGCAUAAAGAUGAAAGAUACUGUUGAAUACAAGCUCCUGGGAGAGUAAUACCACGUACUAACAGUGCUGUCAAGACAACAUAAGGCAUUGUGGCUGUAAUCCAAACUACCUGAAAACAGAGUCAGAUAUAAGCCAACACAAAAUAAACUGUGAGCAAAACAAGUGUCAGAACAGAAUAGGAAAGUGACAAGUCUGGUGGCACAUAACAGCGGCAGUGAAUAAUGUCACACUGCUUCUAGACCAAAGAGCAGAGAAGGGAGGGAAGGAAAAGAGAGAGUGGCCCCUCCUCCCCCUCCAGCUGGACGCCUGGAACCGCUGUCAAUCUCCAUAUUCAGGGCAGGCAGCGGCUACAUUGAGAUCUGGCGGUGGGCAGCAAAGCGAUAUACAAUGAGUCAGUCAUUGUAUUGCCGGUGGCUGUGGACCCCUUCACAGCGUCGGGCCUCCACUGGCAGUUCCGCCACUGUCCAACAUGAUAAACACAGCCUUCAAGACUGGAAAACACGUAAUAAUGCACAGAAGUCCUGUGCAUCAAUUUCAAUUGUCCCGUGCAUCACAAGGUUUAAAAAUUCAUAUGAUUUCACAGUUGUUUAAUUAUUUCAUUUCAUUUAUACCAAAGCAAUUUCUGAAGUAUAUUUAAAUAGAAAAUGCAUUUUACAAGCAUAUACCCCUUUACAAUUCACAGAAUUAUUCAUUACAUUCUGUUAAGGUAGAAAAUAUUAUUUUCUGCAAGUCCCGUGCAUCACACGCUUUUAAUUAUUUUUUCCUUUUAAACUGGUCUGCUAAGAAAUUGUUAUUAUAUGAAAACUUAAUUGCUUUGUAGCAAUGUCCUACCCUAUAACUUAAGACCCACUAAAGCUGUCCCGUGCCUCAGGAGAAUCGCCCUGAAUAGAGCACUGCCCAAAGCAUCCUUCGGUACUGUAGUAACUGAUGACUGCAGGGUGCCUUUCCAUGCACCCUACAUCCACAUGCAGAUGCACGUGGUAGCGAUGGUGCCACCCAAAGGGCCUUGCAUUCUGUGCGGCGGCACCAUUCACACACCUCAGUCUAAAUAUGACCCUGCGUAUACAAGUGGAUUACAAGCAGAAAUAGAGAAGCUGCUUCAUUUAAGUUAGAGAUGUGCGCCGGCCUCCGUCAUGGGUUUUGGUUUCGGGGCUGUAUCUCAUUCAUGUUUUG